AAAAAAAAAAAAAAAGUCCAAAAAAACAUGAAAAAAAGUCCAAAAAAGUCUGAUUAUUCAAAGAUUAUUGUUCUUAUUUUUUUU
This 84-nucleotide non-coding RNA is filed under the name Aureoumbra lagunensis. Lineage: Eukaryota; Pelagophyceae; Sarcinochrysidales; Sarcinochrysidaceae. The record is from RNAcentral.